This 87-nucleotide transfer RNA is filed under the name Candidatus Liberibacter europaeus. Its description in RNAcentral is "tRNA-Leu". It matches the Rfam family "tRNA". Rfam says of the family: Transfer RNA (tRNA) molecules are approximately 80 nucleotides in length. Their secondary structure includes four short double-helical elements and three loops (D, anti-codon, and T loops). The record is from RNAcentral. Lineage: Bacteria; Pseudomonadati; Pseudomonadota; Alphaproteobacteria; Hyphomicrobiales; Rhizobiaceae.
GCGGAUGUGGUGAAAUUGGUAGACGCAACGGAUUCAAAAUCCGUCUUUGGCAACGAAGUGUCGGUUCGAGUCCGACCAUCCGCACCA